Molecule: ribosomal RNA, 479 nt
Filed under: uncultured bacterium
Lineage: Bacteria
Description: partial 16S ribosomal RNA
Rfam family: Bacterial small subunit ribosomal RNA
Source: RNAcentral
GACGAACGCUGGCGGCGUGCCUAACACAUGCAAGUGGAGCGACGAACCGGGGCUUGCCCCGGGGCAGCGCCGCGAACGGGUGAGUAACACGUGGGUGUCCUGCCCCGAUGACUGGGACAAACCGUCGAAAGACGGGCUAUUACCGGAUGUGCCCCUUGGGGGAAAGGAAGCUUCGGCCUCCGCAUCGGGCUGGGCCCGCGGCGCAUUAGCUUGUUGGUGGGGUUAUGGGUUACCAAGGCGACGAUGCGUAGGUGGUCUGAGAGGACGAUCAGCCACACUGGGACUGGGACAGGGCCCAGACUCCUACGGGAGGGAGCAGUGGGGAAUCUUGCACAGUGGGGGAAAGCGUUAUGCAGCAACGCGGCGUGCGGGAAGAAGGCCUUAGGGUUGGAAACCGCUUUUAGUUGGGACGAGGCGUCGAUCGUGAAGAGCGGGUGGGAGUGACGGUACCUGCAGAAGAAGCGCCGGCUAACUACGUG